AACGAACGCUGGCGGCAGGCUUAACACAUGCAAGUCGAACGCCCCGCAAGGGGAAUGGCAGACGGGUGAGUAACGCGUGGGAAUCUACCGUGCCCUACGGAACAACAGUUGGAAACGACUGCUAAUACCGUAUACGCCCUACGGGGAAAGAUGUAUCGGGGUAUGAUGAGCCCGCGUUGGAUUAGCUAGUUGGUGGGGUAAAGGCCUACCAAGGCGACGAUCCAUAGCUGGUCUGAGAGGAUGAUCAGCCACAUUGGGACUGAGACACGGCCCAAACUCCUGCGUGAGGCAGCAGUGGGGAAUAUUGGACAAUGGGCGCAAGCCUGAUCCAGCCAUGCCGCGUGAGUGAUGAAGGCCUUAGGAUUGUAAAGCUCUUUCACCGACGAAGAUAAUGACGGUAGUCGAAGAAGAAGCCCCGGCUAACUUCGUGCCAGCCGCCGCAGUAA
RNAcentral lists this ribosomal RNA (446 nucleotides) under uncultured bacterium. RNAcentral's name for it is "partial 16S ribosomal RNA". It matches the Rfam family "Bacterial small subunit ribosomal RNA", at positions 29 to 523 of the family's 1533-position model. The record is from RNAcentral.